AGUCGACGAGUUCUCGUUGAUGAUCGGUGCUUGCACCGAGAUUCAACAUGCGCUCUAGUGGCGGACGGGUGAGUAACACGUGGGUAACCUGCCCUUAAGUGGGGGAUAACAUUUGGAAACAGAUGCUAAUACCGCAUAGAUCCAAGAACCGCAUGGUUCUUGGCUGAAAGAUGGCGUAAGCUAUCGCUUUUGGAUGGACCCGCGGCGUAUUAGCUAGUUGGUGAGGUAACGGCUCACCAAGGCGAUGAUACGUAGCCGAACUGAGAGGUUGAUCGGCCACAUUGGGACUGAGACACGGCCCAAACUCCUACGGGAGGCAGCAGUAGGGAAUCUUCCACAAUGGACGCAAGUCUGAUGGAGCAACGCCGCGUGAGUGAAGAAGGCUUUCGGGUCGUAAAACUCUGUUGUUGGAGAAGAAUGGUCGGCAGAGUAACUGUUGUCGGCGUGACGGUAUCCAACCAGAAAGCCACGGCUAACUACGUGCCAGCAGCCGCGGUAAUACGUAGGUGGCAAGCGUUACCCGGAUUUAUUGGGCGUAAAGCGAGCGCAGGCGGUUUUUUAAGUCUGAUGUGAAAGCCCUCGGCUUAACCGAGGAAGCGCAUCGGAAACUGGGAAACUUGAGUGCAGAAGAGGACAGUGGAACUCCAUGUGUAGCGGUGAAAUGCGUAGAUAUAUGGAAGAACACCAGUGGCGAAGGCGGCUGUCUGGUCUGUAACUGACGCUGAGGCUCGAAAGCAUGGGUAGCGAACAGGAUUAGAUACCCUGGUAGUCCAUGCCGUAAACGAUGAAUGCUAGGUGUUGGAGGGUUUCCGCCCUUCAGUGCCGCAGCUAACGCAUUAAGCAUUC
Molecule: ribosomal RNA, 846 nt
Filed under: uncultured bacterium
Lineage: Bacteria
Description: bacterial SSU rRNA
Rfam family: Bacterial small subunit ribosomal RNA
Source: RNAcentral